UACGGAGGGUGCGAGCGUUGUCCGGAAUCAUUGGGCGUAAAGGGCGCGUAGGUGGCCUGCUAAGCGUGCGGUGAAAGCUCGGGGCUCAACCCCGAGUCGGCCGUGCGAACUGGUGGGCUUGAGCACUGUAGGGGCAGGCGGAAUUCCGGGUGUAGCGGUGGAAUGCGUAGAUAUCGGGAGGAAUACCGGUGGCGAAAGCGACUCUCUGGACGGCAACUGACGCUGAGGCACGAAAGCGUGGGGAGCAAACAGG
RNAcentral lists this ribosomal RNA (253 nucleotides) under uncultured bacterium. RNAcentral's name for it is "partial 16S ribosomal RNA". It matches the Rfam family "Bacterial small subunit ribosomal RNA", at positions 524 to 776 of the family's 1533-position model. The record is from RNAcentral.